UCGCCUGUUUAUCAAAAACAUUUCUCUAUGUAAAAUUUAUAGGGUUCGCCCUGCUCCAUGGUUAAUUAAAUAGCCGCAGUACCUUGACUGUGCUAAGGUAGCAUAAUCAUUUGGCUUAUAAUUGAAGUCGGGCAUGAAAGGGUAAAUGGGUAGAUACUGUCUUACCAUAAGUAGUAGAAUUUACUUAAUAAGUGAAAAUUCUUAUUAAAAUAAAUUAGACGAGAAGACCCUAGAAAUUUUUUAAAAAAAACUAAAUGUCUAUUUUGUUGGGGCGACAGGGCAACAAUCAAACUUGCCUAGGUUAAUGGGAACCUGGUUAGGUGUCUAAAUAAAUUACUCUAGGGAUAACAGCAUAAUUCAUAAGAGUUUGUGACCUCGAUGUUGGACUAGGAAAAUUACUAUUUAAAAGAUAGUAAUAAUGGCUCUGUUCGAGCUAAUCUCCUACGUGAUCUG
RNAcentral lists this ribosomal RNA (453 nucleotides) under Mengoana jeschaui. Its description in RNAcentral is "partial 16S ribosomal RNA". It matches the Rfam family "Bacterial large subunit ribosomal RNA", at positions 1796 to 2607 of the family's 2925-position model. The record is from RNAcentral. Lineage: Eukaryota; Metazoa; Mollusca; Gastropoda; Stylommatophora; Hygromiidae.